GGAUUACAUUUUAAAGAACAACGGAAUUACAGAAGCACCUCCCUCAGAUACAAGAAGAUCAAGUCUCAGUCCAUCAUUAGUUGUACAUUCUAAGAGGGAGAAUAGCCAAGAUGGUCCCUAAAGUUUCGCUCCUGGGCCAUUUUAGUCCUUAAUUUUUCAUAUUGUUCAAACAAGUCCUUUAAAUUUGUCACAUGGGCUGAUAUAGUCCUUGGUCCCAUCAAAAUCGCCACAUGGACAUGCCAUGUCACCCUCCUAUGCAAAAUCUAUAUGAUUUGUCCAAUUUAUAUUUACAUAUAUCAUAGGAAAAUAAAAAACAAAAGGAAAAAUUAAAAAAUAUAUGGUAUAUGUAAGAGCAAAAAUAUACGUCAAAAGGGUGAAAAAAAGGAAAAGUAUUUUUUUCCCUAUGGUUAUGUCUAAUUCACCCUUACAUUUAUUUUUCUAUGAUAUACAUAAAGGUAAACUAGACAAUUUAUCAUAGAUUUUGCAUGAAUGAUGACAUGGCAUAUCCAUAUGACGAUUUUGGUGGACCCAAGGAUUAUUCUAGGCCUUAUGACAAAGUUUAAGGAUUUCUUUGAACUAUUUAAAAGGUUAGGGACUAAAAUGAUCCUACAUAGAAACUUUAGGGACUACAGUAGCUAUUCUCCCCAUUCUAAGACAUACUCAUGCGAAAAAGAACCAUGCCCAUAGUCUAAGAUUAAAGCAGUAUUACUAUAGCUUCUUCUAAGAACUGAAAUUGCUGGGGGAAGACAUGGUUUUCUGGAGCAAACUUACCCAUUUCCACUGAAAUCAAAGCGAAAGACACU
Molecule: long non-coding RNA, 803 nt
Filed under: Oryza sativa (Asian cultivated rice)
Lineage: Eukaryota; Viridiplantae; Streptophyta; Magnoliopsida; Poales; Poaceae
Description: long non-coding RNA (OSAT_LNC000841)
Source: RNAcentral